CUGAAGAUCCACAAAAAAAGUGAAAAUAGCCUUAACUGAUGACAUUCCACCAUUGUGAUUUGUUUCUGCCCCACCCUGACUGAUCAAUGUGCUUUGCAAUCUCUCCCAACCUUAAGAAGGUUCUUUGUAAUCUCCCACAACCUUAAGAAGGUUCUUUGUAAUUCUCCCCACCCAUGUAUACUUUGUGAGAUCCACUCCCUGCCUGCAAAACAUUGCUCCUAACUCCACCGCCUAUCCCAACACCUGUAAGAGCUAGUGAUAAUCCCACCACUCUUUGCUGACUCUCUUUUCGGACUCAGCCCGCCUGCACGCAGGUGAAAUAAAUAGCCUUGUUGCUCACACAAA
Homo sapiens (human) is the source of this 345-nucleotide long non-coding RNA. RefSeq lists it as uncharacterized. The transcript has 2 exons. NCBI's taxonomy places the organism in Eukaryota, Metazoa, Chordata, Mammalia, Primates, Hominidae. The record is from RefSeq and is a predicted model, not a curated record.